RNAcentral lists this ribosomal RNA (1946 nucleotides) under gut metagenome. Its description in RNAcentral is "bacterial LSU rRNA". It matches the Rfam family "Bacterial large subunit ribosomal RNA", at positions 1 to 1988 of the family's 2925-position model. The record is from RNAcentral.
CUAAGCGUAUACGGGCGCACGACGGAUGCCUUGGCAUCAGGAGGCUAUGAAGGACGCGGAAGACUGCGAUAAUCCUCGGGGAGCCGUCAACGGGCUUUGAUCCGGGGGUGUCCGAAUGGGGCAACCCGGCUACCCUCAUCGGUAGCCAUCGGCGGAUGAAUACAUAGUCCGCCGAAGCCACACGCAGGGAAGUGAAACAUCUCAGUACCUGCAGGAAAAGAAAUCUAUGAGAUUGCGUGAGUAGUGGCGAGCGAAAGCGCAGGAGCCCAAACCGGGAAGCUUGCUUCCCGGGGUUGCGGGACCGGGACGUGACACCGGAAAGGCUAGGAGAAGCCGCUGGAAAGCGGCGCCACAGCGGGUGAAAGCCCCUUAUCCGAAAGCCCGACCGGGUCUACCGUCAUCCCAACUAGGGCGGAGCACGUGAAACUCCGUCCGAAUCCGGGGGGACCACCCUCCAAGGCUAAAUACUCCCUGAUGACCGAUAGUGAACAAGUACCGCGAGGGAAAGGCGAAAAGAACCGCUGCUAGCGGAGUGAAACAGACCUGAAAUCGUGCGUCCACAAGCUAUGGAAGCGUCCUUCGGGACGCGACCGUUUGCCUUUUGCAUAAUGAGUCCGCGAGUCACCGUGGCGAGCGAGCCUAACCGAAAGGGGAGGCGAAGCGAAAGCGAGUCCGAACAGGGCGAUCCCAGUUCGUCGCGGUGGACCCGAAGCCCAUGCGAGCUAUCCUUGGCCAGCGUGAAGCCCCCGUAACAGGGGGUGGAGGUGCGAACGAGUCACCGUUGAAAAGGUGUUCGACGAGCUGAGGAUUGGAGCGAAAGACUUAUCAAGCUGGGUAAUAGCUGGUUCUCUCCGAAAUGCCUUUAGGGGCAGCGUCGGGCAACACGUCGCGCGGGUGUAGAGCACUGAUCGAUCUAGGGUCCCCACCGGGAUACCGAAGUCCGUCAAACUCCGAAGACCGCGCCGAUCGCAUACCCGGCAGUGAGACAGUGGGGGCUAAGCUUCAUUGUCGAAAGGGAAACAGCCCAGGACCGCCGAAUAAGGUCCCAAACUUAAGUUAAGUCACUAAGGCAGUGAAGUCUCUUGGACAGGUAGGAUGUUGGCUUAGAGGCAGCCAUCAUUUAAACAGUGCGUAAUAGCUGACUACUCGAGAGACUCCGCGCCGAAAAUGAUCGGGAGUAAACUUAAGACCGAAUUCGCGGGCCGUUCCUUCAGGGAACGACGGUAGGAGAGCGUAGUUGGACGGGCCGAAGCGGUGCGCGGAAGCGGCCGUGGACUUCCAACUAGCGAUUAUGCGGACAUGAGUAACGAAAAACCGGAUGAGAAUUCCGGUCGCCGGAAUCCCAAGGUUUCCCGGGGCAGGUUCGUCCGCCCGGGGUCAGUCGGCACCUAAGGCCAGGCCGAAAGGCGUAGCCGAUGGACGGCAGGUCAACAUUCCUGCACCGGUAUGGAGGGUUCAGGCGCGCUGUCGGAGAAGGGCAGUGGCGGGGGUCAAUGGCUAUCCCCUGUACGGCGUUGAAGCGCCGGACCGAGUCCGGGAUCCGUCCCGGGCAAGGCCAUGCACCCAUGCUUCCCAGAAAAGCAGCGCGACACCGACAUGCCGGCCGUACCAAAACCGACACAGGUGGGAGGGUACAAAGAUACCAAGGCGCGCGGGAGAAACCUCGUUAAGGAACUCGGCAACAUAGCCCCGUAACUUCGGGAGAAGGGGUCCUCCAGGGCAAUGCCUGGAGGCGCAGUAAACGGGCCCAUGCGACUGUUUAACAAAAACAUAGCACUCUGCGAACUCGCAAGAGGACACAUAGAGUGUGACACGUGACCAAUGCGGAAAGGUCAAGGCAAGGGGUCAGCGGCAACGCGAAGCUCCGAACCAAAGCCCCCGUGAAUGUCGGCCGUAACUAUAACGGUCCUAAGGUAGCGAAAUUCCUUGUCGGGCAAGUUCCGACC